This 241-nucleotide long non-coding RNA is filed under the name Elaeis guineensis (African oil palm). RNAcentral describes it as "long non-coding RNA (EGUI_LNC000789)". Lineage: Eukaryota; Viridiplantae; Streptophyta; Magnoliopsida; Arecales; Arecaceae. The record is from RNAcentral.
CAGGGUCUUGGUGUUUAUGCGGCGAUAGUUCUUUGGAUUCUAGAGAUGUUCUCGAUUUCCAUUUUUGUGGUAACAUCCCCAUUUCUAGUUUCUUUGUUUUUCUUUCUUUUCUGAUGAUGUUCUUGAUUUCUCGUUAGGUUUUGAUGUUAAACUGUGAUUUCCCUGUUAUUUUAUGCGCUAACUGCAAUCUUCCAGGGUUUAAUUUUGUGAUCGUCUAGAUCUGGAUACUCUUCUAAGUGAU